Molecule: long non-coding RNA, 2114 nt
Organism: Monodelphis domestica (gray short-tailed opossum)
Lineage: Eukaryota; Metazoa; Chordata; Mammalia; Didelphimorphia; Didelphidae
Source: Ensembl
AAGCAGGAAUUGUACUGAAUGACAAUGACCUUGAGCAAGGUUUUGAUAUCCUUCCCUCCCCAUUCUAGAAAACCAUGAAAUGAUACAUGCACUUAGCUUUAUGAGGUGGGUCCACACAAAGAAAGGAAGACUUCAGAUUCCUUGGGGGAACCCAUAUUUCACAAAAGAGGAGACUGAGGCAGGAGCUGGUGAAGACUUGCCAAGAGUCAUACAGUGUCUGAGGUUGGAUUUGUACUCAGGUUUUGAAUUCAAAUGAUUUAUUUACAUCAUCACUUAUAUCUGCUCUGAUCAAGAUUUGUAGAAUCAUAAGUUGAGAAAUGGAGAGAACCUUGGAGACCAACCAUCUACUCCAAUCAUCCCUCUCCCCUAAGUUUUCAACUAAUACUGGAUAAUAGUAAAUAUCAUCUCAUUUUAUCCUUACAACUUAUCUUGUGAGGCAGUUGCUACUAUUAUUCCCAUUUUACAGUUAUGAAAACAGAAACAUACAAAGGUCAAGUGACCUAUUCUAUGUCACACUACUAGUAAAUGUCUAAAGGAUGAAUUUGAAUUUCCUGACUCCAGGGCUGGUGCUCUAUCCAUUGAACCACACUGGACUACCUAGCUGCCUAAGAAGAAGAAUAUAAGUCCCAGAAGUUAGGUAACUUGUUCAAGGUCAAAUACUAACAUCAUAUAUGAGAUUUGCACCCAAAUCCCCUUACUCCAAAUCCAGGCUUUUCAGUUAGGAUUUAUUGAUUACUUUAUGCCCACUACUGUUGUGGGAGAUGAGUAAGAAAGUACAUCUCUACCAAAGAGAUGGAAAGCUUUGCCCCUACUUCCAAUCAGCUUAGUAUCUAGAGAGAGAAACAAGAGUAUAUGACAAAUGACAGAGAAUCAUUCAAUUCAUUUUCACAUAAUUUAAAUGCAGGACAUAAAUGUUACAAGUUAAUAGGAAAGCAAGAGAUGGGGGAGAAAUAGAAGAACUACAAAAGUCUUCAUUGAAGAAGAGACUGAACCCUGAGGAAUGUGUUAGAUUUGGGAAAAAGACUUGAAGAUGGUGAGAGGAGUAAGAGAACAUUAUGAUCUGUUGUUGCUAUUCAGUCACUUAGUCGUGUUUGACUACAUGACACCAUCAACUUUUGUCUAUGAGAUACUGGAAUUGUUGGACAUUUUUCCCUCUAAGGUAUCCCCAUUUUACAGAUGAGGAACAGAGGCAAAUGGGAACUAGGUGACUUGCACAGGGCCAUAUAGCUAAUAAGUGUCUGAGGCCAGAUCUGAACUCAGAUCUUCUUGACUCCAGACCCAAUGCUCUAUCCAAUGCAUGACCCAGAUGCCCUGACAUUCUGGGUUACCUUCAUUUAAAUCCUAGAUUAUUAGAUCCAGGAGGGAUUUUUUUAAAGUUUCAAUCCAAUCUCCAUAUAGGUCAAUUAAGAGGAGAAAUUGAAGGUCCAAGCAGAAGAAAUGAUAUCCCAAAUCAUAUAGUAAAUUAGACUCACCCAUAGGACUAAAACCCAGUGUUCUAGUUGAAAAAAAAAAGCAUCCCUCCAACAAAAGUUAAAAAAACUUCAGACUACUUUGUGAAGCGUAGCUCAAUCAAUUAUCAAACUGUAUCAUAUACUAAAACAAUGAAAGCCAAGACAGUUGAAUCAUUGUCACCAUCAAAGAAGCUGCUUUUAGAACAGCCUAUAGGCUAGAGAAUCACCCAAAUCUAGUACCUUUGCCCUGUCCCAGCCCUGAUCCUCCUGUAUUGUUUGGAGAAUGUUUGGUUUCCUGGGUAGAAGGGGAGGAAGGAAUAAGAGAAGAGGGCAAGGAUGGCUGCUUGACCUUCCCUUGUCAUACUGCAGACAAAUGCAGUAAGCACUAGGGAGUUAAGAUCCUUAUAGCAAAUUGCCUGCUCUCCCACUCUAUUACUAAGGUGACCCAGAUUCCUUCCUCUUUUGCGCUAUUUUACAAGUCAUUGCAGGUAUGAUUUCAGAAACUGAUGGCAAGUUUGCAAAAAUUCCAUUUUUAUCAUCAGCCCCCUUUAAGUGACAACAGAAUUAAGAAGGUGCUCAUAGAAUUCUAGGUUGAUAGAAUCCCAGAGUUUGAAGGAAACUCAGAGGUCAUUGAUUACAGAAUAAAAGAAUGACAGAGUUUCA